Molecule: small nucleolar RNA, 76 nt
Filed under: Agrilus planipennis (emerald ash borer)
Lineage: Eukaryota; Metazoa; Arthropoda; Insecta; Coleoptera; Buprestidae
Description: small nucleolar RNA snR60/Z15/Z230/Z193/J17
Rfam family: Small nucleolar RNA snR60/Z15/Z230/Z193/J17
About the family: The members of this family belong to the C/D class of snoRNAs which contain the C (UGAUGA) and D (CUGA) box motifs. Most of the members of the box C/D family function in directing site-specific 2'-O-methylation of substrate RNAs.
Source: Rfam by way of RNAcentral
UAUCUUUCUUAUGAUGACUGCAUAGUUCAUAUGACUUGAAGUGAUUACAUUAUUUCGCUCCUAUCUGAUAAAUUUU